RNAcentral lists this ribosomal RNA (422 nucleotides) under uncultured Mucinivorans sp. RNAcentral's name for it is "bacterial SSU rRNA". It matches the Rfam family "Bacterial small subunit ribosomal RNA", at positions 355 to 774 of the family's 1533-position model. The record is from RNAcentral. Lineage: Bacteria; Pseudomonadati; Bacteroidota; Bacteroidia; Bacteroidales; Rikenellaceae.
UAAGGAAUAUUGGUCAAUGGAGGGAACUCUGAACCAGCCAUGCCGCGUGCAGGAUGACUGCCCUAUGGGUUGUAAACUGCUUUUGUCAGGGAAUAAACCUUUCUACGUGUAGGAAGCUGAAUGUACCUGAAGAAUAAGGAUCGGCUAACUCCGUGCCAGCAGCCGCGGUAAUACGGAGGAUCCGAGCGUUAUCCGGAUUUAUUGGGUUUAAAGGGUGCGUAGGCGGUUUUUUAAGUUAGUCGUUAAAUCUCUGAGCUCAACUCAGACAUGGCGAUUAAUACUGGAGAACUAGAGAUUAGUUGCAGAGGGCGGAAUGUGUAGUGUAGCGGUGAAAUGCUUAGAUAUUACACAGAACACCGAUUGCGAAGGCAGCUCUCUAAGCUACAUCUGACGCUGAGGCACGAAAGCGUGGGGAUCAAACA